RNAcentral lists this ribosomal RNA (253 nucleotides) under uncultured bacterium. RNAcentral's name for it is "partial 16S ribosomal RNA". It matches the Rfam family "Bacterial small subunit ribosomal RNA", at positions 524 to 776 of the family's 1533-position model. The record is from RNAcentral.
UACAGAGGUGGCAAGCGUUGUUCGGAAUUACUGGGCGUAAAGGGCGCGUAGGCGGCCUUCUAAGUCAGACGUGAAAUCCCCCGGCUUAACCUGGGAACUGCGUCUGAUACUGGGAGGCUUGAGUCCGGAAGAGGAGAGUGGAAUUCCUGGUGUAGCGGUGAAAUGCGCAGAUAUCAGGAAGAACACCAAUGGCGAAGGCAGCUCUCUGGGACGGUACUGACGCUGAGACGCGAAAGCGUGGGGAGCGAACAGG